RNAcentral lists this transfer RNA (87 nucleotides) under Amborella trichopoda. RNAcentral's name for it is "tRNA AMTR_s00189t00274620". Lineage: Eukaryota; Viridiplantae; Streptophyta; Magnoliopsida; Amborellales; Amborellaceae. The record is from RNAcentral.
UAGUACUAGUAGUACAUAGUAGUAUGUACUACUAGAACUAGUACUAGUAGUACACAGUAGUAUGUACUAAACGAACUAGUACUAGCC